This 334-nucleotide ribosomal RNA is filed under the name uncultured prokaryote. RNAcentral's name for it is "bacterial SSU rRNA". It matches the Rfam family "Bacterial small subunit ribosomal RNA", at positions 26 to 352 of the family's 1533-position model. The record is from RNAcentral.
AGGACGAACGCUGGCGGCGUGCCUAACACAUGCAAGUCGAACGAGGUCCAUCCGGUGGCAACACCGGUGAAGACCUAGUGGCGAACGGGUGAGUAACACGUGAGCAACCUGCCCCGAAGACCGGGAUAACACCGGGAAACCGAUGCUAAUACCGGAUACCCCCACCAGAUCGCAUGGUCAGGUGAGGAAAUGGACUCCGCUUCGGGAGGGGCUCGCGGCCUAUCAGCUAGUUGGUGGGGUAACGGCCUACCAAGGCGCCGACGGGUAGCUGGUCUGAGAGGACGAUCAGCCACACUGGGACUGAGACACGGCCCAGACUCCUACGGGAGGCAGC